UACGUAGGGGGCAAGCGUUGUCCGGAUUUAUUGGGCGUAAAGAGCGUGUAGGCGGCUAGAUAGGUCCGUUGUGAAAACUCGAGGCUCAACCUCGAGACGUCGAUGGAAACCAUCUGGCUAGAGUCCGGAAGAGGAGAGUGGAAUUCCUGGUGUAGCGGUGAAAUGCGCAGAUAUCAGGAAGAACACCCGUGGCGAAGGCGGCUCUCUGGUACGUGACUGACGCUGAGACGCGAAGGCUAGGGGAGCGAACGGG
This 253-nucleotide ribosomal RNA is filed under the name uncultured bacterium. Its description in RNAcentral is "partial 16S ribosomal RNA". It matches the Rfam family "Bacterial small subunit ribosomal RNA", at positions 524 to 776 of the family's 1533-position model. The record is from RNAcentral.